CAAAUUGUAUGUGUCAAGCUACAUCCACAAUUUUGAAGAUUGUGCUUGGGGAUGCCCGUCCUGUGCAGCUACAAAGCUGCCAGUGUACCUGUGUGGCAGGUACAGCUGUGUGUAAUCAUGUGGCAGCACUGUUGUACCAGACUGCACAUUAUUGCCAGCUUAGCAUCACCUCUGUUCCCCCAACACACAGCUGCACAGAGACUGAACAGAAGUGGCAUAAGCCAAGAUCCAUGGGUGUUAAACCUGGUCUUGUAAAUGACAUGGUGAUUCUUUCAGCCAGACCCAAGGAACGAAAACUGAUGGAAGGCAUUAGGAGCAACUUGUAUAAGGGUGUCAGUUCAGCUCUGCCUGAACUUUCCACACUCAGGGUGGAUGAAGUCUACCAUGAUGUUCCAAGUGAUGUGGCUCCACUGAUAACAACUAUGGCUAUGGACAUUAAUGUUCCUCUGGUUGACUCUGCAUUUGGAAAAGUGCAAGAAGGAAGUGUGUUAUCCUAUCAUAUGCCAGCAAAAAGAGUUCCAAAAACCUGUCCCCACACAGAUGCUCCUUCUCCCCCACAGCUGCCACUUCAGGGUUACAGGCUGGGACCCUCUACCUGCUCUUUU
Cyprinus carpio carpio is the source of this 605-nucleotide long non-coding RNA. NCBI's taxonomy places the organism in Eukaryota, Metazoa, Chordata, Actinopteri, Cypriniformes, Cyprinidae. The record is from Ensembl.